This 566-nucleotide ribosomal RNA is filed under the name uncultured archaeon. Its description in RNAcentral is "bacterial SSU rRNA". It matches the Rfam family "Archaeal small subunit ribosomal RNA", at positions 326 to 894 of the family's 1478-position model. The record is from RNAcentral.
CGGGGUGCACCAGGCGCGAAAACUUUACAAUGCUGGCAACAGCGAUAAGGGGACCUCGAGUGCCAGGUUAUAAAUCUGGCUGUCGUGAUGCCUAAAAAGCAUUGCAUAGCAAGGGCCGGGCAAGACCGGUGCCAGCCGCCGCGGUAACACCGGCGGCUCGAGUGGUAACCGUUAUUAUUGGGUCUAAAGGGUCUGUAGCCGGCCGGAUAAGUCUCUUGGGAAAUCCAGCAGCUCAACUGUUGGGCUUUCAGGAGAUACUGUCUGGCUCGAGGCCGGGAGAGGUGAGAGGUACUUCAGGGGUAGGGGUGAAAUCUUGUAAUCCUUGAAGGACCACCAGUGGCGAAGGCGUCUCACCAGAACGGACCUGACGGCAAGGGACGAAAGCUAGGGGCACGAACCGGAUUAGAUACCCGGGUAGUCCUAGCCGUAAACGAUACUCGCUAGGUGUCGGCCACGGUGCGACCGUUGUCGGUGCCGUAGGGAAGCCGUGAAGCGAGCCACCUGGGAAGUACGGCCGCAAGGCUGAAACUUAAAGGAAUUGGCGGGGGAGCACAAGGGCGAUUCGC